CACGGUCUCCCUCCGUCCCGAAAUACUUGUCGGAGAAAUGGAUAUAUCUAGAUGUACUUUAGUUUUAGAUACAUCCAUUUUUAUGCAUUUCUACGACAAGUAUUUCCGGACGGAAGGAGUAGUAA
This is a non-coding RNA of Triticum aestivum (bread wheat), 125 nucleotides long. NCBI's taxonomy places the organism in Eukaryota, Viridiplantae, Streptophyta, Magnoliopsida, Poales, Poaceae. The record is from Rfam.